GUGAGGAAUAUUGGUCAAUGGGCGAGAGCCUGAACCAGCCAAGUCGCGUGAAGGAAGAAGGAUCUAUGGUUCGUAAACUUCUUUUGCAGGGGAAUAAAGUGCGGGACGUGUCCUGUGUUGUAUGUACCCUGAGAAUAAGGAUCGGCUAACUCCGUGCCAGCAGCCGCGGUAAUACGGAGGAUCCGAGCGUUAUCCGGCUCUAUUGGGUGUAAAGGGUGCGUAGGUGGGUUGAUAAGUCAGCGGUGAAAGUUUGCAGCUUAACAGUAAAGAUGCCGUUGAAACUGUCGGACUUGAGUGUAAAUGAGGUAGGCGGAAUGCGUGGUGUAGCGGUGAAAUGCAUAGAUAUCACGCAGAACUCCGAUUGCGAAGGCAGCUUACUAAGCUACAACUGACACUGAAGCACGAAAGCGUGGGGAGCAAACAGGAUUAGAUACCCUGGUAGUCC
This 445-nucleotide ribosomal RNA is filed under the name uncultured bacterium. RNAcentral describes it as "partial 16S ribosomal RNA". It matches the Rfam family "Bacterial small subunit ribosomal RNA", at positions 354 to 796 of the family's 1533-position model. The record is from RNAcentral.